RNAcentral lists this ribosomal RNA (460 nucleotides) under uncultured bacterium. Its description in RNAcentral is "partial 16S ribosomal RNA". It matches the Rfam family "Bacterial small subunit ribosomal RNA", at positions 338 to 795 of the family's 1533-position model. The record is from RNAcentral.
CCUACGGGAGGCAGCAGUGAGGAAUAUUGGUCAAUGGACGCAAGUCUGAACCAGCCAUGCCGCGUGCAGGAAGACGGCUCUAUGAGUUGUAAACUGCUUUUGUACGAGGGUAAACGCAGAUACGUGUAUCUGUCUGAAAGUAGCGUACGAAUAAGGAUCGGCUAACUCCGUGCCAGCAGCCGCGGUAAUACGGAGGAUUCAAGCGUUCUCCGGAUUUCUUGGGUUUAAAGGGUGCGUAGGCGGUCGGAUAAGUUAGAGGUGAAAUCCCGAGGCUCAACUUCGGAAUUGCCUCUGAUACUGUUCGGCUAGAGCGUAGUUGCGGUAGGCGGAAUGUCUGGUGUAGCGGUGACAUGCUUAGAGCUCAUACAGAACACCGAUUGCGAAGGCAGCUUACCAAGCUACUUCUGACGUUGAGGCACGAACGCGUGGGGAGCAAACAGGAUUAGAUACCCUAGUAGUC